AUUGAACGCUGGCGGAAUGCUUUACACAUGCAAGUCGAACGGCAGCACGAGAGCUUGCUCUUGGUGGCGAGUGGCGAACGGGUGAGUAAUAUAUCGGAACGUAUCCAAUAAUGGGGGAUAACUAAUCGAAAGGUUAGCUAAUACCGCAUACGCCCUACGGGGAAAGGCAGGGGAGUCUUCGGACCUUGCGUUAAUGGAGCGGCUGAUAUCUGAUUAGCUAGUAGGUGAGGUAAAGGCUCACCUAGGCUUCGAUCAGUAGCUGGUCUGAGAGGACGACCAGCCACACUGGAACUGAGACACGGUCCAGACUCCUACGGGAGGCAGCAGUGGGGAAUUUUGGACAAUGGGCGCAAGCCUGAUCCAGCCAUUCCGCGUGAGUGAAGAAGGCCUGGUGUAAGCNUUCGUCAAGGGAAGAAAACGAUACGACGAAUAAUAC
Molecule: ribosomal RNA, 436 nt
Filed under: uncultured bacterium
Lineage: Bacteria
Description: bacterial SSU rRNA
Rfam family: Bacterial small subunit ribosomal RNA
Source: RNAcentral